RNAcentral lists this ribosomal RNA (253 nucleotides) under uncultured bacterium. RNAcentral's name for it is "partial 16S ribosomal RNA". It matches the Rfam family "Bacterial small subunit ribosomal RNA", at positions 524 to 776 of the family's 1533-position model. The record is from RNAcentral.
UACGAAGGGGGCUAGCGUUGCUCGGAAUUACUGGGCGUAAAGGGCGCGUAGGCGGCUCUCUAAGUCGGGGGUGAAAGCCCAGGGCUCAACCCUGGAAUUGCCUUCGAUACUGGAUAUCUUGAGUACGGGAGAGGUGAGUGGAACUCCGAGUGUAGAGGUGAAAUUCGUAGAUAUUCGGAAGAACACCAGUGGCGAAGGCGACUCACUGGCCCGUUACUGACGCUGAGGCGCGAAAGCGUGGGGAGCAAACAGG